AUGCACCUGCUCCCAAAGGACUGGAAUAAAUGCAAGCAUUCAGUCAGAAGAAAGGAAAGGAAAACAAAAGAGCCUCUGUGUUUCUUCAAAUAUAUCAUUUCCCAACAGCUACACUACCAGCAGACCUUCUCAACUGCCAGAGGAACUUCUUUCUGCCUAUCCAGGACAGACAGAAAAUGGAGUCCUAAAGUUGCUUUUAGUCUCCAUGCUAUAAAGAGAGUUUGCUCCGCUUUCCAAACACCCUCUUUGACAUGUAGGUGUGCUGCAUUCCACUACUACUACUGCCAACAUUAUUAUUAUCCCAGUCCUACUCUCACUAGGAGUGAGAGAGAAAAGGCAAAAAAGAAGCCUGGAUAAAGUCUGUUAAAAUUAUGCGAACGAGCUAUGCUUGCAAAGCCUUUGUUGCUUACUGGCUCCCAAGCAGAAAAGAUAUCUAGUGAGAAAAGGUAAUCUAAUGACUAUAAUUUUUUUGUGUUUUCAUAAAAAUUUUACUCAGGCAAAUACACUAAGAAUACAAUGUCAGUCCCUAGAGAAUACAUGGUUAUUAAUCUAAUUUGAAGAGUAAAGAGCUGUUUGCCAGAUUUUGUGUUCCAGUUUAUUUCCAGGUUAGAUCUAUGCAAAAACCCCUCAGUUUUGUUCGAACAACCACAAGCAUAACAACCAAUUUAAUUCAAAGAUAAUUCAACUCAUUAGAAUUCAAUCAGUUCUGUAGUAGAUCAGCAAUUCCAAUUGGCUAUAUAAGCUGGAUUAAACUACUGUCUUUCUCUUCCAUGCAAUUUUCAGAAUUACCCCAACACCUGCUCCUGUCAAGGCCCCUUGCUUCCAUACCCAGAUGACUACAGCAGCAAGGAUAACUGAAAUUACAAACAUCACACUUACAUAAUUAGCAAUAGAUGCAAGUCAUGCAUAUCAAAAUAUAAUUUUACCUUACCAUGGUUCAGGCUACAAUUUUCUUCAAUCCGCUGCCCUUCUUAUCAAGAAUCAGAGGAACUCCUUUAAAGCAUUCUACAAAAAUUUCCAUUUUCUAUAUCAACAGGAUCAGUGCUGUAGGGGGCAGAGUUAACUCAGGCCAAUGCAAAGAAAAUCAGGAUAUAAGUGGAAACAUGUAGGUAGGGCUACAACAGAUAUACUUUUUUAAAAAGACAGCUUCUAUUUCUUCCAAAAAUCUUAUCCAGAUAAGUUUUAAAGGACCUCCUCCCUGUGCUACAGCUUUCUGAACACAUUUUUUAAAUGAAAGGGUUCUAGUAAUUCAACAUAUCCACAAGAAUCUUAUACCUUUUAUCACCAAAUGUCAUAUACCUAAAACUAUAAAAACUCUAGCAAAACUUUAUUUUGGCUGCAUACCAAUACUUGCAUGCCUGCACCUGUAAUAAAUUCAAAGCCUCCUUACA
Molecule: long non-coding RNA, 1391 nt
Filed under: Cyanistes caeruleus (blue tit)
Lineage: Eukaryota; Metazoa; Chordata; Aves; Passeriformes; Paridae
Description: lncRNA (ENSCCEG00000003394.1)
Source: RNAcentral